UUCUGCUUCAGCUUCCCAGGCUCAGACAUCAGGAUCUGACCGAGCAAGCGUUUUUAUCCAGGUCAGAAGAAAAGGCCCAGAGUGACGAUGUAAGAGACGACGAUCCACUCUUGCAAAGAUGGCCACCGCUCCAUCUUCACCAGGAUUAUGUAGUUAUACAACAUCAGAUACACCAGUUUUUCCAUCAUUGCUUCCUUUGGACGAAUGAUGAGGAGCUUCAUCCCCAAGACGAAAGUCCAGGAGCAGGAUGGCAGGAGGGAAAAUAAUCCCUAAAAUGACCUGGUUACAGGGCGAGGAGGGGACAAAGGCCAGAGCCAAGCUCAGCUGAUCAGACGCAGAAGCAUUUGUACCUGAAACCAGGAAAAAAUCAACUGAGCCUCAGUUCCGCCCCUACACAGACAUGU
Long non-coding RNA from Oreochromis niloticus (Nile tilapia), 404 nucleotides. RefSeq lists it as uncharacterized. The record is from RefSeq and is a predicted model, not a curated record. NCBI's taxonomy places the organism in Eukaryota, Metazoa, Chordata, Actinopteri, Cichliformes, Cichlidae. The transcript has 4 exons.